GAUGAAGAACGUAGCGAAGUGCGAUAAGUAAUGUGAAUUGCAGAAUUCAGUGAAUCAUCGAAUCUUUGAACGCACAUUGCGCCCGCCAGUAUUCUGGCGGGCAUGCCUGUUCGAGCGUCAUUACAACCCUCAGGCCCCCGGGCCUGGCGUUGGGGAUCGGCAGAAGCCCCCUGUGGGCACACGCCGUCCCUCAAAUACAGUGGCGGUCCCGCCGCAGCUUCCAUUGCGUAGUAGCUAACACCUCGCAACUGGAGAGCGGCGCGGCCAUGCCGUAAAACACCCAACUUCUGAAUGUUGACCUCGAAUCAGGUAGGAAUACCCGCUGAACUUAAGCAUAUCAAUAAGCGGAGGA
This 352-nucleotide unclassified non-coding RNA is filed under the name soil metagenome. Its description in RNAcentral is "partial contains 5.8S ribosomal RNA, internal transcribed spacer 2, and large subunit ribosomal RNA". The stretch from base 1 to 120 matches the Rfam family "5.8S ribosomal RNA", at positions 35 to 154 of the family's 154-position model. The record is from RNAcentral.